CAGACGGGUGAGUAACGCGUGGGAACCUGCCCAGUAGUAGAGAAUAACUUGGGGGAAACUUAAGCUAAUACUUUAUACGUCCUUCGGGAGAAAGCUUUAUGCGCUAUUGGAUGGGCCCGCGUUAGAUUAGUUUGUUGGUGAGGUAAUGGCUCACCAAGGCGACGAUCUAUAGCUGGUCUGAGAGGAUGAUCAGCCACAUUGGGACUGAGACACGGCCCAAACUCCUACGGGAGGCAGCAGUAGGGAAUAUUGCACAAUGGAGGAAACUCUGAUGCAGCGAUGCCGCGUGAGUGAAGAAGGCCUUUGGGUUGUAAAGCUCUUUCGUCGGGGAAGAAAAUGACUGUACCCGAAUAAGAAGGUCCGGCUAACUUCGUGCCAGCAGCCGCGGUAAUACGAAGGGACCUAGCGUAGUUCGGAAUUACUGGGCUUAAAGAGUUCGUAGGUGGUUAAAAAAGUUGGUGGUGAAAUCCCAGAGCUUAACUCUGGAACUGCCAUCAAAACUUUUUAGCUAGAGUAUGAUAGAGGAAAGCAGAAUUUCUAGUGUAGAGGUGAAAUUCGUAGAUAUUAGAAAGAAUACCAAUUGCGAAGGCAGCUGGCUGGACUUGUAUUGACGCUGAGGCUCGAAAGCGUGGGGAGCAAACAGGAUUAGAUACCCUGGUAGUCCACGCCCUAAACGAUGUUUAC
Molecule: ribosomal RNA, 684 nt
Filed under: uncultured bacterium
Lineage: Bacteria
Description: bacterial SSU rRNA
Rfam family: Bacterial small subunit ribosomal RNA
Source: RNAcentral